CGAGUCGGUCGGGCGAUCGCUUUUCAGUCACUCUCGAGUGAUUGAAGGGAGGAAAGUCCGGGCUCCACAGGGCAGGGUGCCAGGUAACACCUGGGGGGCGCGAGCCUACGGAAAGUGCAACAGAAAGUAUACCGCCCCGCUACUCACCCGUGUGAAGGUUUCACUAUUGCGGUGGCGUUCACAGGGGUGAGUAGCGGGGUAAGGGUGAAAAGGUGCGGUAAGAGCGCACCGCGCGGCUGGUAACAGGCGCGGCGAUGGUAAACCCCACUCGGAGCAAGACCAAAUAGGAAUCCGUUAGCUGUGGCCCACAGUGGAUUCGGGUAGGUCGCUACAGGCAGGUGGUGACACCUGUCGCAGAUGAAUGAUCGUCCACGACAGAACCCGGCUUAUCGACCGACUCGUUUA
RNAcentral lists this RNase P RNA (405 nucleotides) under Gammaproteobacteria bacterium. RNAcentral describes it as "RNase P RNA component class A". It matches the Rfam family "Bacterial RNase P class A". Rfam says of the family: Ribonuclease P (RNase P) is a ubiquitous endoribonuclease, found in archaea, bacteria and eukarya as well as chloroplasts and mitochondria. The record is from RNAcentral. Lineage: Bacteria; Pseudomonadati; Pseudomonadota; Gammaproteobacteria.